RNAcentral lists this ribosomal RNA (463 nucleotides) under uncultured bacterium. RNAcentral's name for it is "partial 16S ribosomal RNA". It matches the Rfam family "Bacterial small subunit ribosomal RNA", at positions 28 to 507 of the family's 1533-position model. The record is from RNAcentral.
GACGAACGCUGGCGGCGUGCUUAACACAUGCAAGUCGAACGGAAAGGCCUUUUCGGAGGUACUCGAGUGGCGAACGGGUGAGUAACACGUGGGUGAUCUGCCCUGCACUCUGGGAUAAGCCUGGGAAACUGGGUCUAAUACCGGAUAGGACCGCACUUUAGUGUGUGUGGUGGAAAGUUUUUUCGGUGUAGGAUGAGCCCGCGGCCUAUCAGCUUGUUGGUGGGGUAAUGGCCUACCAAGGCGGCGACGGGUAGCCGGACUGAGAGGUUGGUCGGCCACAUUGGGACUGGGAUACGGCCCAGACUCCUAAGGGAGGCAGCAGUGGGGAAUAUUGCACAAUGGGCGCAAGCCUGAUGCAGCGACGCCGCGUGGGGGAUGACGGCCUUCGGGUUGUAAACUCCUUUCGCCAGGGACGAAGCGUUUUGUGACGGUACCUGGAGAAGAAGCACCGGCUAACUACGUG